Molecule: ribosomal RNA, 476 nt
Filed under: uncultured organism
Description: partial 16S ribosomal RNA
Rfam family: Bacterial small subunit ribosomal RNA
Source: RNAcentral
ACACUCCUGCGGGAGGCAGCAGUAGGGAAUCUUCGGCAAUGGGGGCAACCCUGACCGAGCAACGCCGCGUGAGUGAAGAAGGUUUUCGGAUCGUAAAGCUCUGUUGUAAGUCAAGAACGAGUGUGAGAGUGGAAAGUUCACACUGUGACGGUAGCUUACCAGAAAGGGACGGCUAACUACGUGCCAGCAGCCGCGGUAAUACGUAGGUCCCGAGCGUUGUCCGGAUUUAUUGGGCGUAAAGCGAGCGCAGGCGGUUUGAUAAGUCUGAAGUUAAAGGCUGUGGCUCAACCAUAGUUCGCUUUGGAAACUGUCAAACUUGAGUGCAGAAGAGGAGAGUGGAAUUCCAUGUGUAGCGGUGAAAUGCGUAGAUAUAUGGAGGAACACCGGUGGCGAAAGCGGCUCUCUGGUCUGUAACUGACGCUGAGGCUCGAAAGCGUGGGGAGCGAACAGGAUUAGAAACCCCGGUAGUCCCAUGA